This 64-nucleotide transfer RNA is filed under the name Haemaphysalis yeni. RNAcentral's name for it is "tRNA-Pro". Lineage: Eukaryota; Metazoa; Arthropoda; Arachnida; Ixodida; Ixodidae. The record is from RNAcentral.
UCAGAAAAUAAUAUAAAUAGUAUAUAAAUUUUGGAGAUUUAAAGAGAGUUAAUUCUUUUCUGAU